GACGAACGCUGGCGGCGUGCUUAACACAUGCAAGUCGAGCGGUAAGGCCCUUUCGGGGGUACACGAGCGGCGAACGGGUGAGUAACACGUGGGUGACCUGCCCUCAGCUCUGGGAUAAGCCUGGGAAACUGGGUCUAAUACUGGAUAUGACUCCACGGUGCAUGUCGUGGGGUGGAAAGCCUUGUGCGGCUGAGGAUGGGCCCGCGGCCUAUCAGCUUGUUGGUGGGGNGAUGGCCUACCAAGGCGACGACGGGUAGCCGGCCUGAGAGGGCGACCGGCCACACUGGGACUGAGACACGGCCCAGACUCCUACGGGAGGCAGCAGUGGGGAAUCUUGCGCAAUGGGACGAAAGCCUGACGCAGCGACGCCGCGUGAGGGAUGACGGCCUGGU
RNAcentral lists this ribosomal RNA (392 nucleotides) under uncultured bacterium. Its description in RNAcentral is "bacterial SSU rRNA". It matches the Rfam family "Bacterial small subunit ribosomal RNA", at positions 28 to 420 of the family's 1533-position model. The record is from RNAcentral.